AACCUGCUGCCGUUCCUUUCUGUGUGUGGAAGCUUUGUUCUUUUGCUCUUCUCCAUAAAUCUUGCUGCUGCUCACUCUUUGGGUCUGCACCACAUUUAAGAGCUGUGACACUCACCGUGAAGGUCUGCAGCUUCAUUGUUGAAGUCAGUGAGACUACGAACCCACUGGAGGGAACCAACUCCAGACACAACAGUGCACUGGAUCUUGCCGCUGUGGCUGUCCUGGAGUUUCCGAGCCUACUCUGGCUUGGGAGGCCGCCCGAGUUGCACAUCUUUCAUUGCUUGAUGAAACUCCUUUAAAUUUAAUUCGGCUGAAGUUUUUCUUUUAUCAUGUGUAAUGUCAAAAUAUCCAGUUGGAAAGGGGAAAAAACGACGAUCCUCAAGAAGGCGGUUCGGGCAACACCAAGCCUCCAGCAGUGGGAAGAUCAAUGUCAAGGUGAUUGAUGAAUUUCCCUUUUUUAUUCGGAUGUUUUGAAGUCAGAUAGGAACUGACAGAAAGUGAGAUUGGUGGGCAAUUUUCUGGAAAUGAAAUCUAGAAGUUGGACUAGAUCAUGGAGUCUAGCUUGAGAGCCUCCGGAAAAUAGGCCUCCAUGUAAUCUAAAAGUAAAGCUGGCCCAUACAGAGAUGAAAGGCUGGCAAGAGCCUGGGAAGUCUUUGAAAGGGAGGAUUUUUAAAUUUAGGUAGCAGGAAGGGAAUGAUGAUGUCACAGCUAAGAUCAGACAGCCCUCGAAGUAGAACCUACAGGUGAAAUAUGGAAGGGGAGAUGGUGUUCAGGAGGCUUCAGUGGCCUAUGGGGAACAGGAAAGGAAUGAGACAUAAAGGGGAGUUUUUAAAAGUUUGAAGUCUUAUUUUUCACCUGUGGUCUAAGACAGAAUUUAAAAUCUGUUUGGAAUAAAGUACAGAUGAAGAACAAAUCAAAUUUGUCUACAAUAGAAUGUUCGUAAUUAAGGAGAAGUCAGAAUUUUGUAUAAUAGGAAUAGGAAUGGAGGGAAAGGGGACCAGUUCUGUUGACCAUGCUUUGCAGAUAAGGGCGUCUCGGUCACCAAUUUGCAAAAAGUCACCCGGGGAACUUGUUGAAUGAGGAUUUUGAUUCAAUAUGUCUGGGAUGGAGCCAGAGAGUCUGCAUUUCUAAUUAUCUCCCAGAUGACAUCAACGCUGCUUUGGGUGGCAAGGCUCUACAGCAGGGAUUUCCACAACUGAAUUCACGAAAGUCCCUUAGUAACUCUGAUAUGCAGCAGGAUUUUGGAACUGGAGCUAUUGAAAAGCUCAUUGAAGAUUAAUUAAUGCAAGAACCAGAGGAAUCAGGACAGUAUUGAAGCUUCUUCAAGCAAAACGUUUUAUUUCCAGCAGCAUGUGGAAAAACAUAUUGUAGAUGUCUGUAUAAAAUAUCUCAAACAGCCAUCAGAAAUUUGGGAUGUAAUGUUUUUAAUAAACCAUAGAAUGCCUGUUUUAAAGAUGUUGAAGUCCUGGAGUAACUAAAAAGGAUGGAUGAAAUGAGUAAAUCUGUAGACACAGUGACACUUUUGUCGCUUCUUGAAUCAUACUUUAAAUUAUUUGAGUAAUAAAUGUGACCAGUGACUUCUAGAUAUUUAAGGAGCUACAAUCAGAGUGUGUGUGUGUGUGUGUGUGUGUGUGUGUGUGUGUUAGAGAAACCCUACUUUCACAGGGAAUCCAGGGC
RNAcentral lists this long non-coding RNA (1677 nucleotides) under Homo sapiens (human). RNAcentral describes it as "HSALNT0373416". Lineage: Eukaryota; Metazoa; Chordata; Mammalia; Primates; Hominidae. The record is from RNAcentral.